CCAAUAGCGUAUAUUAAAGUUGUUGCAGUUAAAAAGCUCGUAGUUGAAUUUCGGAGUUUGUCGGUUGGUCGGGCUUCAUUGUCCGCACUGACCUGAUGGAUUCCUACCUUCUGAAUAACCAGCAUGCUAUUAAGUUAGUGCGUUGGGGAAGCAGAGCUAUUACCUUGAAAAAAUUAGAGUGCUUAAAGCAGGCUUAUGCUUGAAUAGAUUAGCAUGGAAUAAUAAAAUAGGACGGAAUGGUUCUAUUUUGUUGGUUUCUAGGAUCACCGUAAUGAUUAAUAGGGAUAGGUGGGAGCAUUAGUAUUCAAUUGUCAGAGGUGAAAUUCUUGGAUUUAUUGAAGACUAACUUCUGCGAAAGCAUUUGCCAAGGAUGUUUUCAUUAAUCAAGAACGAAAGUUAGGGUAUCGAAGACGAUCAGAUACCGUCGUAGUCUUAACCAUAAACUAUGCCGACUAGGGAUCGGACGAUGUUAAUUUUUUAAUGACUCGUUCGGCGCCUUACG
RNAcentral lists this unclassified non-coding RNA (502 nucleotides) under uncultured Acaulospora. RNAcentral's name for it is "SSU rRNA". It matches the Rfam family "Eukaryotic small subunit ribosomal RNA", at positions 591 to 1092 of the family's 1831-position model. The record is from RNAcentral. Lineage: Eukaryota; Fungi; Glomeromycota; Glomeromycetes; Diversisporales; Acaulosporaceae.